This 277-nucleotide ribosomal RNA is filed under the name uncultured prokaryote. RNAcentral's name for it is "partial 16S ribosomal RNA". It matches the Rfam family "Bacterial small subunit ribosomal RNA", at positions 524 to 800 of the family's 1533-position model. The record is from RNAcentral.
UACGAAGGGUGCAAGCGUUAAUCGGAAUUACUGGGCGUAAAGCGCGCGUAGGUGGUUCGUUAAGUUAGGAGUGAAAGCCCACGGCUCAACCGUGGAAGGUCAUUGGAAACUGGGGAACUUGAGUGCAGAAGAGGAGAGUGGAAUUCCCAGUGUAGCGGUGAAAUGUGUAGAUAUUAGGAGGAACACCAGUUGCGAAGGCGGCUCUCUGGACUGUAACUGACACUGAGGCACGAAAGCGUGGGGAGCAAACAGGAUUAGAUACCCCCGUAGUCCCUGA